GAUGAAGAACGUAGCAAAAUGCGAUAAGUAAUGUGAAUUGCAGAAUUCAGUGAAUCAUCGAAUCUUUGAACGCACAUUGCGCCCGCCAGUACUCUGGCGGGCAUGCCUGUCCGAGCGUCAUUUCAACCCUCAGGGCCCUCCAGCAGGCGCUGGUGUUGGGGAUCGGCAGUCCCAGCGGCUGCCGUCCCUGAAAUGUAGUGGCGGUCCCACCGUGACCUCCCCUGUGCAGUACAUCGCUCGCAGAGGGACAGCGGUGCGGCCACGCCGUAAAACGCCCAACUCUUCAAGGUUGACCUCGGAUCAGGUAGGACUACCCGCUGAACUUAAGCAUAUCAAUAAGCGGAGGA
This 347-nucleotide unclassified non-coding RNA is filed under the name soil metagenome. Its description in RNAcentral is "partial contains 5.8S ribosomal RNA, internal transcribed spacer 2, and large subunit ribosomal RNA". The stretch from base 1 to 120 matches the Rfam family "5.8S ribosomal RNA", at positions 35 to 154 of the family's 154-position model. The record is from RNAcentral.